RNAcentral lists this ribosomal RNA (254 nucleotides) under uncultured bacterium. RNAcentral describes it as "partial 16S ribosomal RNA". It matches the Rfam family "Bacterial small subunit ribosomal RNA", at positions 524 to 776 of the family's 1533-position model. The record is from RNAcentral.
CACGUAGGGGGCAAGCGUUGUCCGGAUUUAUUGGGCGUAAAGAGCUCGUAGGCGGUUCGCUAAGUCGGGUGUGAAACCUCCAGGCUCAACCUGGAGACGCCACCUGAUACUGGUGUGACUCGAGUCCGGUAGGGGAGCGUGGAAUUCCUGGUGUAGCGGUGAAAUGCGCAGAUAUCAGGAGGAACACCAGCGGCGAAGGCGGCGCUCUGGGCCGGUACUGACACUGAGGAGCGAAAGCGUGGGUAGCAAACAGG